AACGAGCGCUGGCGGCAUGCCUAACACAUGCAAGUCGAACGAGACCUUCGGGUCUAGUGGCGCACGGGUGCGUAACGCGUGGGAACCUGCCCUUAGGUUCGGAAUAACUCCCCGAAAGGGGUGCUAAUACCGGAUAAUGUCUUCGGACCAAAGAUUUAUCGCCUUUGGAUGGGCCCGCGUUGGAUUAGCUAGUUGGCAGGGUAAAAGCCUACCAAGGCGACGAUCCAUAGCUGGUCUGAGAGGAUGAUCAGCCACACUGGGACUGAGACACGGCCCAGACUCCUACGGGAGGCAGCAGUGGGGAAUAUUGGACAAUGGGCGAAAGCCUGAUCCAGCAAUGCCGCGUGAGUGAUGAAGGCCUUAGGGUUGUAAAGCUCUUUUACCCGGGAUGAUAAUGACAGUACCGGGAGAAUAAGCUCCGGCUAACUCCGUG
Molecule: ribosomal RNA, 433 nt
Filed under: uncultured bacterium
Lineage: Bacteria
Description: partial 16S ribosomal RNA
Rfam family: Bacterial small subunit ribosomal RNA
Source: RNAcentral